AUGGGUAAAAAUGAAAGUAGGCUAAGUGAAGGUAGGGGGCUUCAAAUGAAAACAUACCUAACACUUUAUGUCCAAGUCCAGUUGAAUCUGAAUCUGAAUAUGAAGUUGAAGCUUCAAAGAAAAGAAAAAUCAUGGAACCUAGAGCUGGUUGUUGGAAGCAUUUUGAAAGGGUAGUUGUCGAUGGAGCUCAUAGAGCAAAAUAUAUGUAUUGUGGGAAAACUUAUGCAGCUGCAACAAAAAAAAUGGUACAUAAUCAUUUGAAGAAGUGUCCUAAUCUUCCCCACCCUGUAGAUGAUAGUCAAACACACAUAAGUUUUCUGCCUUCUUCAAUUGGGGCAAAGGAAGGGGUGAUUAGCAAUUGGAUAUUUGACCAAGAAAAAAGUAGGAGAGCUUUAGCUAAAAUGGUAAUUAUUGAUGAGUUGCCAUUUAAUUUUGUUGAAAAGGAAGGUUUUAAAAGUUUUAUGGCAGUCACCGUGCCACAAUUCCAGAUUCCUUCUUGUAGGACCUUGACAAGAGAUUGUUUUGAUCUCUAUAGUGAAGAAAGACAAAAGUUGAAGAAGAUUUUCAAAGAAGCACAUCCAAAAAUUUGUCUUACGACAGAUACUUGGACAUCUAUACAAAGAAUCAACUACAUGUGUCCGGCGGCUCAUUUUAUUGAUAGAAACUGGAAAUUGCAUAAAAGAAUUAUAAAUUUUUGUCCUAUUUCUAGCCAUAAGGGUGAUGAUAUGGCGGCUGCGAUUACUAAUUGCUUGUUUGAAUGGGGUUUUGAUAGUGUAUUUACUAUUACGGUUGAUAAUGCUAGUUCCAAUGAUGUAACCGUGAAAGAAGUGUCAAAACAAUUGAAUAAUUAGGGAACUAAUAUAAUGGAGGGUAAACACUUUUAUGUGAGGUGUAUAGCUCAUAUACUUAAUCUUAUUGUGCAAUAUGGGUUGAAGGAAAGUGGUGAUUCUAUCAAGCGAGUUAGACAAGCCGUGAGAUACAUUAGGCAAUCACCUGCAAGACUAAGAAAGUUCAAAGAAUUUUGUGAAUCUCAAUUGAUAACUUGUAACAAAUCAUUAAGUUUAGAUGUUCCUACUCGAUGGAACUCUACAUACUUGAUGCUUGAUACAACACAAUAUUUUGAGCUUGCCUUUGAAAGAUAUGGUUAUCAUGAUGUUGGAUUCUUGGAUUAUCUUCGUACUUGUAUUUGUGAAGAUGGAACUCAUGCAGGUGUUCUCACAAGUUUUGAUUGGCAAAAUGUGAAGACAAUGUGCACUUUAUUGAAAUUAUAGAGCUUGAUCUUAUUUUGAAAGAGAUGAUGCAAACUGAAGAUGCUAGUUUGAAAUUAAUAUCAACAAGAAUGAAAGAAAAGUUCAAGAAGUAUUGGGGUGAACCAGAUAAAAUGAACAAAAUGAUUUUUUUUUUUUUUUUGCAUCUGUGUUGGAUGCCCAUAACAAGCUUCAAUAUGUUCCUUUUGCAAUGAAGGAUAUGUUUGGAGAAGAACCGGGAAGAAACUAAUUGGUGAAGUGAGUAAAGAUAUGCAUUCUUUGUUUGAUUAUUAUGGUAAGAAAAGAUCAAAAGGCUCUCUCCCUGCAUCAUCUUCACCUACUUCAUCUGUCAUCUCAUUGAGUACAUCUAGUGUGAGAGGUUAUGGCUACUUUCAAAGAAGAGGAACAAUGAGAAUGAAAUAAUUAUUUGAGAGGCAAAAAGAAGUUAGUGGAGGUUUAGGUAGUAAAUCGGAGUUAGAUAGAUAUCUUGGUGAAGAUAUUGAGCCAGAGUCGGACAGGUUUAAUAUAUUAGAGUGGUGGCAAGUUCAUGAACCGAGAUUUCCUAUUCUUGCGGAGAUGGCUCGUGAUGUGUUAGCCAUUCCCGUUUCAUGUGUUGCAUCAGAAAGUGCAUUCAAAGACAGGAGGUCAUAUUCUUGAUCCCUUUAGGAGUUCCUUGACUUCUAAACUAGUGCAAUCUCUUAUUUGUCUUCAAGAUUGGCUUAGAAGUGAACCUAUUCAUAAUAAUAUUGAGGAAGGUUUAGAGUAUCUUAAGAAGCUUGAACUUGAUAUGGUUAGUUCUGGAAAAAGAAUGUAGUAUUGUGGAAAUAUAGUUGCAACUAGUUUCAUGUGUGGUAAGUAGAAAACUUCUAUAUAUAACAUGUUUAAGUAUAUGUCCUUGAUUUAUUUUAUUAUCAUUGUGUUUGACUUAUAAUUAUGUUUUCUUUUGUU
Lycium ferocissimum is the source of this 2195-nucleotide long non-coding RNA. RefSeq lists it as uncharacterized. Lineage: Eukaryota; Viridiplantae; Streptophyta; Magnoliopsida; Solanales; Solanaceae. The record is from RefSeq and is a predicted model, not a curated record. The transcript has 3 exons.